RNAcentral lists this ribosomal RNA (775 nucleotides) under Ligilactobacillus salivarius. RNAcentral's name for it is "bacterial SSU rRNA". It matches the Rfam family "Bacterial small subunit ribosomal RNA", at positions 33 to 779 of the family's 1533-position model. Lineage: Bacteria; Bacillati; Bacillota; Bacilli; Lactobacillales; Lactobacillaceae. The record is from RNAcentral.
ACCUGGCGGCGUGCCUAUACAUGCAAGUCGAACGAAACUUUCUUACACCGAAUGCUUGCAUUCACCGUAAGAAGUUGAGUGGCGGACGGGUGAGUAACACGUGGGUAACCUGCCUAAAAGAAGGGGAUAACACUUGGAAACAGGUGCUAAUACCGUAUAUCUCUAAGGAUCGCAUGAUCCUUAGAUGAAAGAUGGUUCUGCUAUCGCUUUUAGAUGGACCCGCGGCGUAUUAACUAGUUGGUGGGGUAACGGCCUACCAAGGUGAUGAUACGUAGCCGAACUGAGAGGUUGAUCGGCCACAUUGGGACUGAGACACGGCCCAAACUCCUACGGGAGGCAGCAGUAGGGAAUCUUCCACAAUGGACGCAAGUCUGAUGGAGCAACGCCGCGUGAGUGAAGAAGGUCUUCGGAUCGUAAAACUCUGUUGUUAGAGAAGAACACGAGUGAGAGUAACUGUUCAUUCGAUGACGGUAUCUAACCAGCAAGUCACGGCUAACUACGUGCCAGCAGCCGCGGUAAUACGUAGGUGGCAAGCGUUGUCCGGAUUUAUUGGGCGUAAAGGGAACGCAGGCGGUCUUUUAAGUCUGAUGUGAAAGCCUUCGGCUUAACCGGAGUAGUGCAUUGGAAACUGGAAGACUUGAGUGCAGAAGAGGAGAGUGGAACUCCAUGUGUAGCGGUGAAAUGCGUAGAUAUAUGGAAGAACACCAGUGGCGAAAGCGGCUCUCUGGUCUGUAACUGACGCUGAGGUUCGAAAGCGUGGGUAGCAAACAGGAUA